Long non-coding RNA from Ctenopharyngodon idella (grass carp), 4375 nucleotides. RefSeq lists it as uncharacterized. NCBI's taxonomy places the organism in Eukaryota, Metazoa, Chordata, Actinopteri, Cypriniformes, Xenocyprididae. The record is from RefSeq and is a predicted model, not a curated record. The transcript is spliced from 3 exons.
AAGAUUUCCUAUCAUUUUUAUUUACUUGUGUAACUAUAGACAACACCAUCUGUGAAUGUGCGUGUGUAUGAGGAUAAUGUCAGUGUUUAUAUGAAACAUACCAAUUCCACAUAACGAUAACUGAUGGCUACUUUUUAGUCUAAGGGCCCUAUUUUGGCUGAAUCCCAAAUGGCACACUUCUAUGCACUUUCGGUCUUGUGGACUUACAAUGGCCGCCGCGUGCGCGUGUCCGUUAAGUUCACGAGACCGUAAGGUGUCCCAUUCAUCAUUUUAGGUUUCAGAAGGGUGCUCGCGAGAGCCCCCUUUGCUGCCGCUAUGCAUCCUCAGGUCUUCCUCUGAGUCCGCACUUUCGUGACAUAAUGGCCCUGUCCCAAAUGGAACCCUAAACACUCACUGCCUUCCUACGAGUCCGCACUUUCAUGACGUAUCGUCGCUUUGACUGUCGGGAAUAAGUCUGCCGCGUAGCUCGCAAACUUGCGAGCUCAGCUGAAGUACGCAUCGAGGGCACAUAGCGGCCGCAAAGGGACGAAUGGGACACCCUGUGGUCUCGUGGUGCUAUGCAUUUUCAUUCCUGUGGACACAAUGGCUGCAGCGUACGCCUGUCCAUUAAAGGGUUAGUUGACCCAAAAAUGAAAUUUCUGUCAUUAAGUAGGCUACUCACCCUCAUGUCGUUCCACACCCGUAAGACCUUCGUCAUCUUCGGAACACAAAUUAAGAUAUUUUUGAUGAAAUCCGAGGUCAAAGUGCGCGAGCAGACCAUCUACGGGAAAUACCGGAUUCCACCAAAGCAUUUUUAUCUUUAUGCACACACUAAUAAUCUUUUACAUUGCAAUCCUUUUAUUUUUGAUAUUUGGCAUGUUUGUGUGCUGCUGCAGCUGCACUUCCCUGGGCGCAUCCCAGCAAACAUUUGGACGUUUAAUUACCGCUGACGUCAAUCAAUCCAACACGUCCAGUCAUGGUUGAAAAAUACUUCCAAAAUGAAAGCUGAACCGACGUCUUUGACGUCAGCUGGCCGUGAAUUCCACGUCUUUUCUGCGCAUCCCAGGACGUCUAAAGGUGUCAUCUUCUGGAUGUUUAUAAGCUGUGUGUUGCUGCAUAAUUUAAGUGUAGCUUAUAUAUAAGCCUGCAUUUAAAAUAAUCACACACCUAUUGUGUAACAUAGUGAAAGGCAAUCAAUGUCUUGAGGUUUACAAUCUGAACUUGACAAAAGGUUCUAAAAAGGUCCAAAAUCAGUCCAGUCAGAUCUGAACGUCUAUAAACCGUUUUAAUCACGUGUACAUCACAAACAAUAACACAUUAUUUGUGGACUUAAAGGGUUAGUUCACCCAAAAAUGAAAAUAAUGUCAUUUAUUUCUCACCCUCAUGCCAUUCCACACCCGUAAAACCUUCGUUCAUCUUCAGAACACAAAUUAAGAUAUUUUGUUGAAAUCCGAUGGCUCAGUGAGGCCUGCAUAGCCAGCAAUGACAUUUCAUCUCUCAAGAUCCAUUAAUGUACUAAAAACAUUUUUAAAUCAGUUCAUGUGAGUACAGUGGUUCAAUAUUAAUAUUAUAAAGCAACGAGAAUAUUUUUGGUGCGCCAAAAAAACAAAAUAAGGACUUAUAUAGUGAUGGCCGAUUUCAAAACACUGCUUCAGGAAGCUUCGGAGCGUUAUGAAUCACGUACAUGUAAUCUGACAAACACGUACACAUAUAUAAUAUCGUUUGCAAAGCCAUGCAAAAGCUUGGCAAAAGAUAUGUUUGGAUAACGGAUACUCUGGCAUUUCAAAGAAAUUAAUAAUCUUCCUUCUACCACACGCUCUCUGUUCUCUGCUAAUAAAAGAUUCGCUGCUGUCGAGACGUGUGUCACGCUCGUCUCUCAUUAGCAAUCGCUCCAGCGGCCUCGUUACUGCUCCCACAGCACUCGGCCAUGCUCUGCUUACAGUAACGUUAAUAACCUCAUUCAUGAACAUGAUUUCUGCCUGAGUCCCAUCCCGAUUCUUUUCCACCGGCUGUAGACAUGAAGACAACACCUCCCAUGAUUCCGUGAAAUCAAGGUGUCAUCGAGCUACGCCUUUGUUUUGAAUGAGCGAUCUCUAGCGGCGAAAAUUUACAUAUUGUGGCUUUAACAGAUAAAAUAUUCACAUAUCCCUGUGAUCUCCCAGAUGUAGGUUAGUUUUAAAGUAACCAACAGUAUAAUGUUUGCAAAUGACUAAUAAUUGUUCCCUAAUUUAGUUACUUGGUGUUUGGUAACAAAGGGCCUACUUUGCAUCUGCAACACUGACUCAAUGACAAACAAGUCAUUUAUAAGAAGACAACUGAUGGCACCUGUAUUCAUAGCAACUAGUUUCUAACUAAUUAAUCAUUUGAUUGUUAAUCAUAAAUAUAGGGGGCUGCUGCUCGGUAUAAUAGUUUUCAAGAACAUUAUGUAAACUGGUAAACUAUUUAGCCUAGACUACCAAAACGAACACCAAAACUUAACAUGAACUGUUAAAAAUUAUAGCAAUUUAUGCAAAAAAUUGAUGGAAAGCUGGCAGCCUGCACGUUUCUUGACCACCUUCUUCCAUAUGGAUCAAUUUUCUGUUCUGAUUGCAACAAGUCUCUGAAACUAUUGAGUAGGCACCAAUCAGAGGCCGCAAUUUUAUGAUGUCAUCAUGUAGACUUCUUACAAAGUAUUUCACAGUAUUUUAAAAAUACAAAAAUACAAAACACUGAAGUAUUUUGAUACAAAAUACGAAGCCAUUUUCAUCAACCCUAUCAAAUACAAAUUACAAAAUACUAUUUUGUAUUUGAAAUACGUAUUUGAAAUACAUGUAUCAUAAAUACUGCCCAUCCCUGGACUUGCCAGGGUCCAGAAUGCCAGCUAUUCGCUGAAGUUCAUCUUUCAAACCAAACAGCAUGGAAAACACCUUCCUUUGGAAUACUGAAAGAAAAAUUCAGUAAUAUGUACACACACGACUACUUACAUUUCUAAACUGAAUGUGACACUUUGUGUUUAUGCAAACAAUUAUACAUACGUGCAACCCCAGAGAACUGCAGACAUGUACAAACGUAUCUGAAUGCAUUUUUAGGAAAUGUUCAGUGUUACAUAUUUUUACCGAAAAUUUUUUGGCCAGGGACAUGAUGUUGCCGUCAGACCAAUGUUUGGUAGGGAUAUUACUAACGCGAUCUUUAAAUAACAAAACAAAUAUUGCGCCAUUGACUUUAGACCAGGUUUCAGUUAGUCAAUGGUGCAGUCUAUUUCAGUUGCCUCAAAAUAGUAACACGCCAACAAUGCUCCUGAACAAACUCAUUUUCAGACCAGCACGCCAAUGGGCACACAAAUGGCCGCAAAUGCAUUUGUUAUUUAAACAACGUGGCGCAGGACAUGAAAAUGAUAACUGCGUCGGGCUGAAACCAGCAAAAACUAGCAAUGUGCCGGGUGUAUGAUUGGACCCUAAAUGUCUUAUAGCCUACCUGAAUGUGCUACAUUUUUUGCCUUAGGUUUCUUUGGUGGUCAAAUGCAACCAUAAGUGUCCCAAUGCACAUGUUGUAGCAAAAAAUACAACCUUGGUGAAGCUCCCAGGCACAGGCAGAACUCAUGUUGUGCCGUUUGUUGUCGGUGGCAUUGCUGUACUACUUGCCUUUGUUCUCAUAACAAUCAUCAUUUGUAACAAGUACAGACAUGUAAGGUAUGAAUUAUGACUUUACAUGAUGUCAUUACUGUUAUGUAAUUAGACUAAGUUGACACAUUGACAUUAUAUAUACAGUAGACAUUUUUAUAGUUAGCACGCACUUUCUUAACCAAGUUUCAAACAAAAUUCUUUGUUUUCAGGGAAUCAGUUAGUGCUGUGUAACAGCUAGAUAGCUACCUGCACUGGGAAACUGCUUUAUAUAUUUUUGUGGGAUAGAGAAUCAACAUCCACAUUAGUCAAUGCUGACAGUGCUGUUUAUUCUGUCUCACUACUGCCUGUUGUGUUUGAAUUUUCCGGUCCAUCAAAAAGGAUAGUUCCUUCACCAGAAAGGACAUUUCCAGCACGAGGAAACACUUACAGUCACAGGUGCAGAAAUGAAGGCGGUGAUAGGCCUACAUGUCAAUGCAUAAAUGAAAUUGCCUCGCAGAAAGGAGACAUGCUGUAACACUGACCAUGUUUUCCCCCACAACAGACAAUUUGUAGCUUGUUUUUAUAACAGAAAUUCAUGUUCCCAUUCUGCAUUACAAAUAAUAGUGACCUUAGUUGACUGUUGUAAAAUAUUGUAUAUUAAAAAUUGCAUAACCUUUUUAAUCCUAAUUUUUACCAAACCACUUCUUAACUUCAGGGCAUCGGCUUUCAUAAUUUUAUAAACUUGCUACCUUUUCUGUCUGUAUACCCUUGUUGUUUAUCUUUUCUGCAAAAUAAAUAAUUUUGUGAAUUGUGAA